ACAGCAGUCGCCACGGUAAAACGUAGGUGGCAAGCGUUGUCCGGAAUUAUUGGGCGUAAAGGGCUCGCAGGCGGUUUCUUAAGUCUGAUGUGAAAGCCCCCGGCUCAACCGGGGAGGGUCAUUGGAAACUGGGAAACUUGAGUGCAGAAGAGGAGAGUGGAAUUCCACGUGUAGCGGUGAAAUGCGUAGAGAUGUGGAGGAACACCAGUGGCGAAGGCGACUCUCUGGUCUGUAACUGACGCUGAGGAGCGAAAGCGUGGGGAGCGAACAGGAUUAGAUACCCCUGUAGUCCCUGUCUCUUAUAC
RNAcentral lists this ribosomal RNA (305 nucleotides) under uncultured bacterium. Its description in RNAcentral is "partial 16S ribosomal RNA". It matches the Rfam family "Bacterial small subunit ribosomal RNA", at positions 505 to 807 of the family's 1533-position model. The record is from RNAcentral.